GAUGAACGCUGGCGGCGUGCCUAAUACAUGCAAGUCGAGCGAACAGACGAGGAGCUUGCUCCUCUGACGUUAGCGGCGGACGGGUGAGUAACACGUGGAUAACCUACCUAUAAGACUGGGAUAACUUCGGGAAACCGGAGCUAAUACCGGAUAAUAUAUUGAACCGCAUGGUUCAAUAGUGAAAGACGGUUUUGCUGUCACUUAUAGAUGGAUCCGCGCCGCAUUAGCUAGUUGGUAAGGUAACGGCUUACCAAGGCAACGAUGCGUAGCCGACCUGAGAGGGUGACCGGCCACACUGGAACUGAGACACGGUCCAGACUCCGAGGGGGGGCAGCAGGGGGGAAUCUUCCGCAAUGGGCGAAAGCUGGACGGAGCAGCGCCGGGUGAGUGAUGAAGGUCUUCGGAUCGUAAAACUCUUUUAUUGGGGAAAAAAAAAUGUGUAAGUAACUAUGCCCGUCUGGCGGGUCCCUAAAAAGAAGCCCACGCCUACCCCCGGC
Molecule: ribosomal RNA, 497 nt
Filed under: uncultured bacterium
Lineage: Bacteria
Description: partial 16S ribosomal RNA
Rfam family: Bacterial small subunit ribosomal RNA
Source: RNAcentral